This is a long non-coding RNA of Homo sapiens (human), 513 nucleotides long. RefSeq annotates it as ATP2B2 intronic transcript 2. The transcript is spliced from 2 exons. NCBI's taxonomy places the organism in Eukaryota, Metazoa, Chordata, Mammalia, Primates, Hominidae. The record is from RefSeq and is marked validated.
GAACUUUCUGCUAGCUCUCUAAAGGAAUGAAAAUAACCUUGGGUUCUCACUAAGCAUCAAUUCUGUGACUGGCUCUGUGGGGUAGAGAUGAAAAGGCUCACUCAGUUCCAGCCCCUGCAGAUCCCCCAGGACCCUGGCAGCAGCAGAUCUAUGAGCCCACAUUUCCCCCUGCUUGUGAGGAUCACACCAAGAGAGACAUUCACAUCCUGGCCUCACAAAGAAGAGAUGGCAAAGUGGAAAAAGGCCGGAGUCCCCAACCCUGAGCCCUUUACCCUGUCUCAGUCUUUUAUAACGAGGUGUGUGUGCUUGGGCAAUGCCUCUCUCUUCUGGGACUCAGUGUACCCAUCUCUGCUGUGGGGAGGUUGGACUAGAUGAGAGUUUCCCAAACUCCAGUUGUUUCUUUCCCUCCCUCCACACCUGGAGAUCAGAACACCUGUACUAAAAAGUACUGAAAAUCUUUAUUCAAAUGAGCUCACUUUUUUUCAACCAAAAUAAACUUAUUUUAGAGUGAAA